Molecule: microRNA, 23 nt
Filed under: Salmo salar (Atlantic salmon)
Lineage: Eukaryota; Metazoa; Chordata; Actinopteri; Salmoniformes; Salmonidae
Description: ssa-miR-148b-5p
Gene: ssa-miR-148b-5p
Source: miRBase by way of RNAcentral
AAGUUCGGUGAUACACUUCGACU